This 397-nucleotide ribosomal RNA is filed under the name uncultured bacterium. RNAcentral's name for it is "partial 16S ribosomal RNA". It matches the Rfam family "Bacterial small subunit ribosomal RNA", at positions 523 to 918 of the family's 1533-position model. The record is from RNAcentral.
AUACGUAGGGGGCGAGCGUUGUCCGGAAUGAUUGGGCGUAAAGGGCGCGUAGGCGGCCCGGUAAGUCUGGAGUGAAAGUCCUGUUUUUAAGAUGGGAAUUGCUUUGGAUACUGUCGGGCUUGAGUGCAGGAGAGGUAAGUGGAAUUCCCAGUGUAGCGGUGAAAUGCGGAGAGAUUGGGAGGAACACCAGUGGCGAAGGCGACUUACUGGACUGUAACUGACGCUGAGGCGCGAAAGUGUGGGGAGCAAACAGGAUUAGAUACCCUGGUAGUCCACACUGUAAACGAUGAAUGCUAGGUGUAGGGGGUAUCGACCCCUUCUGUGCCGCAGUCAACACAAUAAGCAUUCCGCCUGGGGAGUACGGCCGCAAGGUUGAAACUCAAAUGAAUUGACGGGG